Molecule: long non-coding RNA, 20719 nt
Organism: Ostrea edulis (European flat oyster)
Lineage: Eukaryota; Metazoa; Mollusca; Bivalvia; Ostreida; Ostreidae
Exons: 2
Source: RefSeq, a predicted model, not a curated record
UUCCAAACGGAAGUGAUUUUUCAAAAAUUGAAACGGCGGUACAAACUUCAAAUGGCAACGCAUCAAUCCUGAAAAUUUGAAGCAAAUUGAUCCAGCCAUCUCCGAGAAAUCUUCUGCACAAAAAUCGGUAAGGAGAAAAAAAAAAAUAAUAAUAAUAACUAGUGAUCCUAAUUGUUCGCGAACAAUUAGAGGGCUUCCCACCUUCUAGCGGUUUUUCAGUAGUGUUGAAAUGCUAAAAGCCCCCCCCCCUACCCCACCCCACCCUCACCAAAAAAAAAAAAAAAAAUGGAUUUGGCUAGAAAAGAAAUUCAAAUUUGCCGCCUAAAUUUGAGUGUUGAGGUGUGUUCAAUGCUUGGUUUCGCAUUAAGUACCCGUCAAAUUUGAGGGAGAAAAGGGGUGUGGGUGUUGGGUAGCCAGCACAUAUGCACAUAUCAGGUAAAAGUGUAAUAGGACUUGUGCAGGUGUUUGGGGUGACUUUAGACCUGUUAGAUGUGAUAUUUGGAGGUGCAAAGAAACCGGAUGUGCCAUUUUCCUAGAUUGUAGUAACUGCUGGUGCAUGCUGGGAGUCUAUACAAGCCUCAUGUUGUCAGAUGUUGUGAAGAUGCACUGGAUUUGACCGUGUGUGUUGUGGAUUGUGGAAUUGAAUAUACAGUUUGUAAUGGCUCAUCCUAUGUGUUCUAAUUCACGGAGACAAUGUCUUUCAGUCAUUUCACCCAAGGAGGCAUGCAUAUACGGAUUGAUAGGCUUUGACAACAAACAACCAAAAUGGCGGCCGGUGAAUUAGAAAGUGUCUGAGUGCAUGUAGGAUAUCUGAACGGAGAAUAGGAGUACUGCAUCCCAUCUGAUCCUGCAGGUAAGUGUUUAUUUGUUUACAAUGACAGUCGGGAUGGAAUGUCAAUGAGUUCAACUGUCAAGUAAAGUUGCAUCAUCAUUAUUAAAAAAAAACAACUUAGUCUUUAUGUUGAUGCAGGCAGACAAUUGAAUCUGGCCUAUGUCUUUUCAUGAAUGUAAAUGGAAUUCAUGUUUGAUUGACAAGACAGUCAAGAAAUGGAAGAAGUGGGUGUAGGUCAGAUGUGUAGGUGUAGGUCAGAUUAGCUAGAAUCCUGUAAUUGUUGCAUGGCAUGAGACCGGUCAAAAUAGUGUAUUGAAACAGCUGAUCACAAUCAGAUCACUUGAAGGGUGGGGGAUUUCUUCCUUGGGGACGACAGGCGUGAUGGGUGGGUUGGCCUUACUCGUGGAGACUGGCCCCUGGAUGCGUGACCUUGACCUUUGACCUUGACCCACUUUCAAGGUCAAACCUCAAAAACCCAUGGGGGAGAAAGUGUGACUUUGACCUUGACCUGAUUUUGAAGGUCAGAGAGGUCACGGGGCUUCGUUUAAGUGGUCCCGCAUCCCUAUCUACAUCCGUGAAGAAGUUGUGGGCUCGAACGACGACGUCGGAGACUUUCGGGGGCGAGAACCGUGCUUCGGGGUUCUCGGUUUCCCUCGGUCAACUUUUCUGUGCGAGAGCGUUUCAUCUGGAAUUCGUCGGCGAAGGUCUCGCCUCUCCACGACUUGCGGUCUAGUGAGAGUAGCGAUAACGGGGUUUUCGACGUUAAGUCGCCGCCAUUCGCAGAGUGGUCAAAGUUCAGAGUUGACAUUCGUGAUGCCGAGACCGGUCCAAAAUUCCUUGCUGACCCAUGUGAUAUUUCGAUGCUAUCUGAAGCGUGAAAGAGCGUAUAAAAAGUGCCAUUUUCUGGCCAUUCUGGAUGACCUUGACCUUUGACCUUGACCUACUUUUUCAAGGUCAAGGUCACCCAACCCGUCCCAGUGGGUUCCGUCUCUCUACGACGAAGACUUUAGGAGUCGUCAAUUUGUAGGGGACAAAUCGCAAAACAUGAGGGGGCAUUAACUCCCUUUAGGGGACACCGAAUCCCUUCAUUUGAAAUUCUUCGCUUCUACUAAUUACCCUCUAUGUUUUAGAAAAGGUUUCAUCCUCCUAUCAUUUACGGUUACAAAGUAGAAGUGCUAACAAUGAUUUCUGCGAAAGGUCAAAUAACUCCGUAAGGGGUCAAAGUUCAAUUACGCAGGGUGAACUGUAUUCUUUUCUCAAGAAGUACUAUAUGAUGGACUAUAAAGUUUUUCGAUAAGUCUUAAGACGAAGAUUUUUUUUGACGGCAGGAAAAUAAUAAUAAUAAUAACUAGUGAUCCUAAUUGUUCGCGAACAAUUAGAGGGCUUCCCACCUUCUAGCGGUUUUUCAGUAGUGUUGAAAUGCUAAAAGCCCCCCCCCCUACCCCACCCCACCCUCACCAAAAAAAAAAAAAAAAAUGGAUUUGGCUAGAAAAGAAAUUCAAAUUUGCCGCCUAAAUUUGAGUGUUGAGGUGUGUUCAAUGCUUGGUUUCGCAUUAAGUACCCGUCAAAUUUGAGGGAGAAAAGGGGUGUGGGUGUUGGGUAGCCAGCACAUAUGCACAUAUCAGGUAAAAGUGUAAUAGGACUUGUGCAGGUGUUUGGGGUGACUUUAGACCUGUUAGAUGUGAUAUUUGGAGGUGCAAAGAAACCGGAUGUGCCAUUUUCCUAGAUUGUAGUAACUGCUGGUGCAUGCUGGGAGUCUAUACAAGCCUCAUGUUGUCAGAUGUUGUGAAGAUGCACUGGAUUUGACCGUGUGUGUUGUGGAUUGUGGAAUUGAAUAUACAGUUUGUAAUGGCUCAUCCUAUGUGUUCUAAUUCACGGAGACAAUGUCUUUCAGUCAUUUCACCCAAGGAGGCAUGCAUAUACGGAUUGAUAGGCUUUGACAACAAACAACCAAAAUGGCGGCCGGUGAAUUAGAAAGUGUCUGAGUGCAUGUAGGAUAUCUGAACGGAGAAUAGGAGUACUGCAUCCCAUCUGAUCCUGCAGGUAAGUGUUUAUUUGUUUACAAUGACAGUCGGGAUGGAAUGUCAAUGAGUUCAACUGUCAAGUAAAGUUGCAUCAUCAUUAUUAAAAAAAAACAACUUAGUCUUUAUGUUGAUGCAGGCAGACAAUUGAAUCUGGCCUAUGUCUUUUCAUGAAUGUAAAUGGAAUUCAUGUUUGAUUGACAAGACAGUCAAGAAAUGGAAGAAGUGGGUGUAGGUCAGAUGUGUAGGUGUAGGUCAGAUUAGCUAGAAUCCUGUAAUUGUUGCAUGGCAUGAGACCGGUCAAAAUAGUGUAUUGAAACAGCUGAUCACAAUCAGAUCACUUGAAGGGUGGGGGAUUUCUUCCUUGGGGACGACAGGCGUGAUGGGUGGGUUGGCCUUACUCGUGGAGACUGGCCCCUGGAUGCGUGACCUUGACCUUUGACCUUGACCCACUUUCAAGGUCAAACCUCAAAAACCCAUGGGGGAGAAAGUGUGACUUUGACCUUGACCUGAUUUUGAAGGUCAGAGAGGUCACGGGGCUUCGUUUAAGUGGUCCCGCAUCCCUAUCUACAUCCGUGAAGAAGUUGUGGGCUCGAACGACGACGUCGGAGACUUUCGGGGGCGAGAACCGUGCUUCGGGGUUCUCGGUUUCCCUCGGUCAACUUUUCUGUGCGAGAGCGUUUCAUCUGGAAUUCGUCGGCGAAGGUCUCGCCUCUCCACGACUUGCGGUCUAGUGAGAGUAGCGAUAACGGGGUUUUCGACGUUAAGUCGCCGCCAUUCGCAGAGUGGUCAAAGUUCAGAGUUGACAUUCGUGAUGCCGAGACCGGUCCAAAAUUCCUUGCUGACCCAUGUGAUAUUUCGAUGCUAUCUGAAGCGUGAAAGAGCGUAUAAAAAGUGCCAUUUUCUGGCCAUUCUGGAUGACCUUGACCUUUGACCUUGACCUACUUUUUCAAGGUCAAGGUCACCCAACCCGUCCCAGUGGGUUCCGUCUCUCUACGACGAAGACUUUAGGAGUCGUCAAUUUGUAGGGGACAAAUCGCAAAACAUGAGGGGGCAUUAACUCCCUUUAGGGGACACCGAAUCCCUUCAUUUGAAAUUCUUCGCUUCUACUAAUUACCCUCUAUGUUUUAGAAAAGGUUUCAUCCUCCUAUCAUUUACGGUUACAAAGUAGAAGUGCUAACAAUGAUUUCUGCGAAAGGUCAAAUAACUCCGUAAGGGGUCAAAGUUCAAUUACGCAGGGUGAACUGUAUUCUUUUCUCAAGAAGUACUAUAUGAUGGACUAUAAAGUUUUUCGAUAAGUCUUAAGACGAAGAUUUUUUUUGACGGCAGGAAAAUAAUAAUAAUAAUAACUAGUGAUCCUAAUUGUUCGCGAACAAUUAGAGGGCUUCCCACCUUCUAGCGGUUUUUCAGUAGUGUUGAAAUGCUAAAAGCCCCCCCCCCUACCCCACCCCACCCUCACCAAAAAAAAAAAAAAAAAUGGAUUUGGCUAGAAAAGAAAUUCAAAUUUGCCGCCUAAAUUUGAGUGUUGAGGUGUGUUCAAUGCUUGGUUUCGCAUUAAGUACCCGUCAAAUUUGAGGGAGAAAAGGGGUGUGGGUGUUGGGUAGCCAGCACAUAUGCACAUAUCAGGUAAAAGUGUAAUAGGACUUGUGCAGGUGUUUGGGGUGACUUUAGACCUGUUAGAUGUGAUAUUUGGAGGUGCAAAGAAACCGGAUGUGCCAUUUUCCUAGAUUGUAGUAACUGCUGGUGCAUGCUGGGAGUCUAUACAAGCCUCAUGUUGUCAGAUGUUGUGAAGAUGCACUGGAUUUGACCGUGUGUGUUGUGGAUUGUGGAAUUGAAUAUACAGUUUGUAAUGGCUCAUCCUAUGUGUUCUAAUUCACGGAGACAAUGUCUUUCAGUCAUUUCACCCAAGGAGGCAUGCAUAUACGGAUUGAUAGGCUUUGACAACAAACAACCAAAAUGGCGGCCGGUGAAUUAGAAAGUGUCUGAGUGCAUGUAGGAUAUCUGAACGGAGAAUAGGAGUACUGCAUCCCAUCUGAUCCUGCAGGUAAGUGUUUAUUUGUUUACAAUGACAGUCGGGAUGGAAUGUCAAUGAGUUCAACUGUCAAGUAAAGUUGCAUCAUCAUUAUUAAAAAAAAACAACUUAGUCUUUAUGUUGAUGCAGGCAGACAAUUGAAUCUGGCCUAUGUCUUUUCAUGAAUGUAAAUGGAAUUCAUGUUUGAUUGACAAGACAGUCAAGAAAUGGAAGAAGUGGGUGUAGGUCAGAUGUGUAGGUGUAGGUCAGAUUAGCUAGAAUCCUGUAAUUGUUGCAUGGCAUGAGACCGGUCAAAAUAGUGUAUUGAAACAGCUGAUCACAAUCAGAUCACUUGAAGGGUGGGGGAUUUCUUCCUUGGGGACGACAGGCGUGAUGGGUGGGUUGGCCUUACUCGUGGAGACUGGCCCCUGGAUGCGUGACCUUGACCUUUGACCUUGACCCACUUUCAAGGUCAAACCUCAAAAACCCAUGGGGGAGAAAGUGUGACUUUGACCUUGACCUGAUUUUGAAGGUCAGAGAGGUCACGGGGCUUCGUUUAAGUGGUCCCGCAUCCCUAUCUACAUCCGUGAAGAAGUUGUGGGCUCGAACGACGACGUCGGAGACUUUCGGGGGCGAGAACCGUGCUUCGGGGUUCUCGGUUUCCCUCGGUCAACUUUUCUGUGCGAGAGCGUUUCAUCUGGAAUUCGUCGGCGAAGGUCUCGCCUCUCCACGACUUGCGGUCUAGUGAGAGUAGCGAUAACGGGGUUUUCGACGUUAAGUCGCCGCCAUUCGCAGAGUGGUCAAAGUUCAGAGUUGACAUUCGUGAUGCCGAGACCGGUCCAAAAUUCCUUGCUGACCCAUGUGAUAUUUCGAUGCUAUCUGAAGCGUGAAAGAGCGUAUAAAAAGUGCCAUUUUCUGGCCAUUCUGGAUGACCUUGACCUUUGACCUUGACCUACUUUUUCAAGGUCAAGGUCACCCAACCCGUCCCAGUGGGUUCCGUCUCUCUACGACGAAGACUUUAGGAGUCGUCAAUUUGUAGGGGACAAAUCGCAAAACAUGAGGGGGCAUUAACUCCCUUUAGGGGACACCGAAUCCCUUCAUUUGAAAUUCUUCGCUUCUACUAAUUACCCUCUAUGUUUUAGAAAAGGUUUCAUCCUCCUAUCAUUUACGGUUACAAAGUAGAAGUGCUAACAAUGAUUUCUGCGAAAGGUCAAAUAACUCCGUAAGGGGUCAAAGUUCAAUUACGCAGGGUGAACUGUAUUCUUUUCUCAAGAAGUACUAUAUGAUGGACUAUAAAGUUUUUCGAUAAGUCUUAAGACGAAGAUUUUUUUUGACGGCAGGAAAAUAAUAAUAAUAAUAACUAGUGAUCCUAAUUGUUCGCGAACAAUUAGAGGGCUUCCCACCUUCUAGCGGUUUUUCAGUAGUGUUGAAAUGCUAAAAGCCCCCCCCCCUACCCCACCCCACCCUCACCAAAAAAAAAAAAAAAAAUGGAUUUGGCUAGAAAAGAAAUUCAAAUUUGCCGCCUAAAUUUGAGUGUUGAGGUGUGUUCAAUGCUUGGUUUCGCAUUAAGUACCCGUCAAAUUUGAGGGAGAAAAGGGGUGUGGGUGUUGGGUAGCCAGCACAUAUGCACAUAUCAGGUAAAAGUGUAAUAGGACUUGUGCAGGUGUUUGGGGUGACUUUAGACCUGUUAGAUGUGAUAUUUGGAGGUGCAAAGAAACCGGAUGUGCCAUUUUCCUAGAUUGUAGUAACUGCUGGUGCAUGCUGGGAGUCUAUACAAGCCUCAUGUUGUCAGAUGUUGUGAAGAUGCACUGGAUUUGACCGUGUGUGUUGUGGAUUGUGGAAUUGAAUAUACAGUUUGUAAUGGCUCAUCCUAUGUGUUCUAAUUCACGGAGACAAUGUCUUUCAGUCAUUUCACCCAAGGAGGCAUGCAUAUACGGAUUGAUAGGCUUUGACAACAAACAACCAAAAUGGCGGCCGGUGAAUUAGAAAGUGUCUGAGUGCAUGUAGGAUAUCUGAACGGAGAAUAGGAGUACUGCAUCCCAUCUGAUCCUGCAGGUAAGUGUUUAUUUGUUUACAAUGACAGUCGGGAUGGAAUGUCAAUGAGUUCAACUGUCAAGUAAAGUUGCAUCAUCAUUAUUAAAAAAAAACAACUUAGUCUUUAUGUUGAUGCAGGCAGACAAUUGAAUCUGGCCUAUGUCUUUUCAUGAAUGUAAAUGGAAUUCAUGUUUGAUUGACAAGACAGUCAAGAAAUGGAAGAAGUGGGUGUAGGUCAGAUGUGUAGGUGUAGGUCAGAUUAGCUAGAAUCCUGUAAUUGUUGCAUGGCAUGAGACCGGUCAAAAUAGUGUAUUGAAACAGCUGAUCACAAUCAGAUCACUUGAAGGGUGGGGGAUUUCUUCCUUGGGGACGACAGGCGUGAUGGGUGGGUUGGCCUUACUCGUGGAGACUGGCCCCUGGAUGCGUGACCUUGACCUUUGACCUUGACCCACUUUCAAGGUCAAACCUCAAAAACCCAUGGGGGAGAAAGUGUGACUUUGACCUUGACCUGAUUUUGAAGGUCAGAGAGGUCACGGGGCUUCGUUUAAGUGGUCCCGCAUCCCUAUCUACAUCCGUGAAGAAGUUGUGGGCUCGAACGACGACGUCGGAGACUUUCGGGGGCGAGAACCGUGCUUCGGGGUUCUCGGUUUCCCUCGGUCAACUUUUCUGUGCGAGAGCGUUUCAUCUGGAAUUCGUCGGCGAAGGUCUCGCCUCUCCACGACUUGCGGUCUAGUGAGAGUAGCGAUAACGGGGUUUUCGACGUUAAGUCGCCGCCAUUCGCAGAGUGGUCAAAGUUCAGAGUUGACAUUCGUGAUGCCGAGACCGGUCCAAAAUUCCUUGCUGACCCAUGUGAUAUUUCGAUGCUAUCUGAAGCGUGAAAGAGCGUAUAAAAAGUGCCAUUUUCUGGCCAUUCUGGAUGACCUUGACCUUUGACCUUGACCUACUUUUUCAAGGUCAAGGUCACCCAACCCGUCCCAGUGGGUUCCGUCUCUCUACGACGAAGACUUUAGGAGUCGUCAAUUUGUAGGGGACAAAUCGCAAAACAUGAGGGGGCAUUAACUCCCUUUAGGGGACACCGAAUCCCUUCAUUUGAAAUUCUUCGCUUCUACUAAUUACCCUCUAUGUUUUAGAAAAGGUUUCAUCCUCCUAUCAUUUACGGUUACAAAGUAGAAGUGCUAACAAUGAUUUCUGCGAAAGGUCAAAUAACUCCGUAAGGGGUCAAAGUUCAAUUACGCAGGGUGAACUGUAUUCUUUUCUCAAGAAGUACUAUAUGAUGGACUAUAAAGUUUUUCGAUAAGUCUUAAGACGAAGAUUUUUUUUGACGGCAGGAAAAUAAUAAUAAUAAUAACUAGUGAUCCUAAUUGUUCGCGAACAAUUAGAGGGCUUCCCACCUUCUAGCGGUUUUUCAGUAGUGUUGAAAUGCUAAAAGCCCCCCCCCCUACCCCACCCCACCCUCACCAAAAAAAAAAAAAAAAAUGGAUUUGGCUAGAAAAGAAAUUCAAAUUUGCCGCCUAAAUUUGAGUGUUGAGGUGUGUUCAAUGCUUGGUUUCGCAUUAAGUACCCGUCAAAUUUGAGGGAGAAAAGGGGUGUGGGUGUUGGGUAGCCAGCACAUAUGCACAUAUCAGGUAAAAGUGUAAUAGGACUUGUGCAGGUGUUUGGGGUGACUUUAGACCUGUUAGAUGUGAUAUUUGGAGGUGCAAAGAAACCGGAUGUGCCAUUUUCCUAGAUUGUAGUAACUGCUGGUGCAUGCUGGGAGUCUAUACAAGCCUCAUGUUGUCAGAUGUUGUGAAGAUGCACUGGAUUUGACCGUGUGUGUUGUGGAUUGUGGAAUUGAAUAUACAGUUUGUAAUGGCUCAUCCUAUGUGUUCUAAUUCACGGAGACAAUGUCUUUCAGUCAUUUCACCCAAGGAGGCAUGCAUAUACGGAUUGAUAGGCUUUGACAACAAACAACCAAAAUGGCGGCCGGUGAAUUAGAAAGUGUCUGAGUGCAUGUAGGAUAUCUGAACGGAGAAUAGGAGUACUGCAUCCCAUCUGAUCCUGCAGGUAAGUGUUUAUUUGUUUACAAUGACAGUCGGGAUGGAAUGUCAAUGAGUUCAACUGUCAAGUAAAGUUGCAUCAUCAUUAUUAAAAAAAAACAACUUAGUCUUUAUGUUGAUGCAGGCAGACAAUUGAAUCUGGCCUAUGUCUUUUCAUGAAUGUAAAUGGAAUUCAUGUUUGAUUGACAAGACAGUCAAGAAAUGGAAGAAGUGGGUGUAGGUCAGAUGUGUAGGUGUAGGUCAGAUUAGCUAGAAUCCUGUAAUUGUUGCAUGGCAUGAGACCGGUCAAAAUAGUGUAUUGAAACAGCUGAUCACAAUCAGAUCACUUGAAGGGUGGGGGAUUUCUUCCUUGGGGACGACAGGCGUGAUGGGUGGGUUGGCCUUACUCGUGGAGACUGGCCCCUGGAUGCGUGACCUUGACCUUUGACCUUGACCCACUUUCAAGGUCAAACCUCAAAAACCCAUGGGGGAGAAAGUGUGACUUUGACCUUGACCUGAUUUUGAAGGUCAGAGAGGUCACGGGGCUUCGUUUAAGUGGUCCCGCAUCCCUAUCUACAUCCGUGAAGAAGUUGUGGGCUCGAACGACGACGUCGGAGACUUUCGGGGGCGAGAACCGUGCUUCGGGGUUCUCGGUUUCCCUCGGUCAACUUUUCUGUGCGAGAGCGUUUCAUCUGGAAUUCGUCGGCGAAGGUCUCGCCUCUCCACGACUUGCGGUCUAGUGAGAGUAGCGAUAACGGGGUUUUCGACGUUAAGUCGCCGCCAUUCGCAGAGUGGUCAAAGUUCAGAGUUGACAUUCGUGAUGCCGAGACCGGUCCAAAAUUCCUUGCUGACCCAUGUGAUAUUUCGAUGCUAUCUGAAGCGUGAAAGAGCGUAUAAAAAGUGCCAUUUUCUGGCCAUUCUGGAUGACCUUGACCUUUGACCUUGACCUACUUUUUCAAGGUCAAGGUCACCCAACCCGUCCCAGUGGGUUCCGUCUCUCUACGACGAAGACUUUAGGAGUCGUCAAUUUGUAGGGGACAAAUCGCAAAACAUGAGGGGGCAUUAACUCCCUUUAGGGGACACCGAAUCCCUUCAUUUGAAAUUCUUCGCUUCUACUAAUUACCCUCUAUGUUUUAGAAAAGGUUUCAUCCUCCUAUCAUUUACGGUUACAAAGUAGAAGUGCUAACAAUGAUUUCUGCGAAAGGUCAAAUAACUCCGUAAGGGGUCAAAGUUCAAUUACGCAGGGUGAACUGUAUUCUUUUCUCAAGAAGUACUAUAUGAUGGACUAUAAAGUUUUUCGAUAAGUCUUAAGACGAAGAUUUUUUUUGACGGCAGGAAAAUAAUAAUAAUAAUAACUAGUGAUCCUAAUUGUUCGCGAACAAUUAGAGGGCUUCCCACCUUCUAGCGGUUUUUCAGUAGUGUUGAAAUGCUAAAAGCCCCCCCCCCUACCCCACCCCACCCUCACCAAAAAAAAAAAAAAAAAUGGAUUUGGCUAGAAAAGAAAUUCAAAUUUGCCGCCUAAAUUUGAGUGUUGAGGUGUGUUCAAUGCUUGGUUUCGCAUUAAGUACCCGUCAAAUUUGAGGGAGAAAAGGGGUGUGGGUGUUGGGUAGCCAGCACAUAUGCACAUAUCAGGUAAAAGUGUAAUAGGACUUGUGCAGGUGUUUGGGGUGACUUUAGACCUGUUAGAUGUGAUAUUUGGAGGUGCAAAGAAACCGGAUGUGCCAUUUUCCUAGAUUGUAGUAACUGCUGGUGCAUGCUGGGAGUCUAUACAAGCCUCAUGUUGUCAGAUGUUGUGAAGAUGCACUGGAUUUGACCGUGUGUGUUGUGGAUUGUGGAAUUGAAUAUACAGUUUGUAAUGGCUCAUCCUAUGUGUUCUAAUUCACGGAGACAAUGUCUUUCAGUCAUUUCACCCAAGGAGGCAUGCAUAUACGGAUUGAUAGGCUUUGACAACAAACAACCAAAAUGGCGGCCGGUGAAUUAGAAAGUGUCUGAGUGCAUGUAGGAUAUCUGAACGGAGAAUAGGAGUACUGCAUCCCAUCUGAUCCUGCAGGUAAGUGUUUAUUUGUUUACAAUGACAGUCGGGAUGGAAUGUCAAUGAGUUCAACUGUCAAGUAAAGUUGCAUCAUCAUUAUUAAAAAAAAACAACUUAGUCUUUAUGUUGAUGCAGGCAGACAAUUGAAUCUGGCCUAUGUCUUUUCAUGAAUGUAAAUGGAAUUCAUGUUUGAUUGACAAGACAGUCAAGAAAUGGAAGAAGUGGGUGUAGGUCAGAUGUGUAGGUGUAGGUCAGAUUAGCUAGAAUCCUGUAAUUGUUGCAUGGCAUGAGACCGGUCAAAAUAGUGUAUUGAAACAGCUGAUCACAAUCAGAUCACUUGAAGGGUGGGGGAUUUCUUCCUUGGGGACGACAGGCGUGAUGGGUGGGUUGGCCUUACUCGUGGAGACUGGCCCCUGGAUGCGUGACCUUGACCUUUGACCUUGACCCACUUUCAAGGUCAAACCUCAAAAACCCAUGGGGGAGAAAGUGUGACUUUGACCUUGACCUGAUUUUGAAGGUCAGAGAGGUCACGGGGCUUCGUUUAAGUGGUCCCGCAUCCCUAUCUACAUCCGUGAAGAAGUUGUGGGCUCGAACGACGACGUCGGAGACUUUCGGGGGCGAGAACCGUGCUUCGGGGUUCUCGGUUUCCCUCGGUCAACUUUUCUGUGCGAGAGCGUUUCAUCUGGAAUUCGUCGGCGAAGGUCUCGCCUCUCCACGACUUGCGGUCUAGUGAGAGUAGCGAUAACGGGGUUUUCGACGUUAAGUCGCCGCCAUUCGCAGAGUGGUCAAAGUUCAGAGUUGACAUUCGUGAUGCCGAGACCGGUCCAAAAUUCCUUGCUGACCCAUGUGAUAUUUCGAUGCUAUCUGAAGCGUGAAAGAGCGUAUAAAAAGUGCCAUUUUCUGGCCAUUCUGGAUGACCUUGACCUUUGACCUUGACCUACUUUUUCAAGGUCAAGGUCACCCAACCCGUCCCAGUGGGUUCCGUCUCUCUACGACGAAGACUUUAGGAGUCGUCAAUUUGUAGGGGACAAAUCGCAAAACAUGAGGGGGCAUUAACUCCCUUUAGGGGACACCGAAUCCCUUCAUUUGAAAUUCUUCGCUUCUACUAAUUACCCUCUAUGUUUUAGAAAAGGUUUCAUCCUCCUAUCAUUUACGGUUACAAAGUAGAAGUGCUAACAAUGAUUUCUGCGAAAGGUCAAAUAACUCCGUAAGGGGUCAAAGUUCAAUUACGCAGGGUGAACUGUAUUCUUUUCUCAAGAAGUACUAUAUGAUGGACUAUAAAGUUUUUCGAUAAGUCUUAAGACGAAGAUUUUUUUUGACGGCAGGAAAAUAAUAAUAAUAAUAACUAGUGAUCCUAAUUGUUCGCGAACAAUUAGAGGGCUUCCCACCUUCUAGCGGUUUUUCAGUAGUGUUGAAAUGCUAAAAGCCCCCCCCCCUACCCCACCCCACCCUCACCAAAAAAAAAAAAAAAAAUGGAUUUGGCUAGAAAAGAAAUUCAAAUUUGCCGCCUAAAUUUGAGUGUUGAGGUGUGUUCAAUGCUUGGUUUCGCAUUAAGUACCCGUCAAAUUUGAGGGAGAAAAGGGGUGUGGGUGUUGGGUAGCCAGCACAUAUGCACAUAUCAGGUAAAAGUGUAAUAGGACUUGUGCAGGUGUUUGGGGUGACUUUAGACCUGUUAGAUGUGAUAUUUGGAGGUGCAAAGAAACCGGAUGUGCCAUUUUCCUAGAUUGUAGUAACUGCUGGUGCAUGCUGGGAGUCUAUACAAGCCUCAUGUUGUCAGAUGUUGUGAAGAUGCACUGGAUUUGACCGUGUGUGUUGUGGAUUGUGGAAUUGAAUAUACAGUUUGUAAUGGCUCAUCCUAUGUGUUCUAAUUCACGGAGACAAUGUCUUUCAGUCAUUUCACCCAAGGAGGCAUGCAUAUACGGAUUGAUAGGCUUUGACAACAAACAACCAAAAUGGCGGCCGGUGAAUUAGAAAGUGUCUGAGUGCAUGUAGGAUAUCUGAACGGAGAAUAGGAGUACUGCAUCCCAUCUGAUCCUGCAGGUAAGUGUUUAUUUGUUUACAAUGACAGUCGGGAUGGAAUGUCAAUGAGUUCAACUGUCAAGUAAAGUUGCAUCAUCAUUAUUAAAAAAAAACAACUUAGUCUUUAUGUUGAUGCAGGCAGACAAUUGAAUCUGGCCUAUGUCUUUUCAUGAAUGUAAAUGGAAUUCAUGUUUGAUUGACAAGACAGUCAAGAAAUGGAAGAAGUGGGUGUAGGUCAGAUGUGUAGGUGUAGGUCAGAUUAGCUAGAAUCCUGUAAUUGUUGCAUGGCAUGAGACCGGUCAAAAUAGUGUAUUGAAACAGCUGAUCACAAUCAGAUCACUUGAAGGGUGGGGGAUUUCUUCCUUGGGGACGACAGGCGUGAUGGGUGGGUUGGCCUUACUCGUGGAGACUGGCCCCUGGAUGCGUGACCUUGACCUUUGACCUUGACCCACUUUCAAGGUCAAACCUCAAAAACCCAUGGGGGAGAAAGUGUGACUUUGACCUUGACCUGAUUUUGAAGGUCAGAGAGGUCACGGGGCUUCGUUUAAGUGGUCCCGCAUCCCUAUCUACAUCCGUGAAGAAGUUGUGGGCUCGAACGACGACGUCGGAGACUUUCGGGGGCGAGAACCGUGCUUCGGGGUUCUCGGUUUCCCUCGGUCAACUUUUCUGUGCGAGAGCGUUUCAUCUGGAAUUCGUCGGCGAAGGUCUCGCCUCUCCACGACUUGCGGUCUAGUGAGAGUAGCGAUAACGGGGUUUUCGACGUUAAGUCGCCGCCAUUCGCAGAGUGGUCAAAGUUCAGAGUUGACAUUCGUGAUGCCGAGACCGGUCCAAAAUUCCUUGCUGACCCAUGUGAUAUUUCGAUGCUAUCUGAAGCGUGAAAGAGCGUAUAAAAAGUGCCAUUUUCUGGCCAUUCUGGAUGACCUUGACCUUUGACCUUGACCUACUUUUUCAAGGUCAAGGUCACCCAACCCGUCCCAGUGGGUUCCGUCUCUCUACGACGAAGACUUUAGGAGUCGUCAAUUUGUAGGGGACAAAUCGCAAAACAUGAGGGGGCAUUAACUCCCUUUAGGGGACACCGAAUCCCUUCAUUUGAAAUUCUUCGCUUCUACUAAUUACCCUCUAUGUUUUAGAAAAGGUUUCAUCCUCCUAUCAUUUACGGUUACAAAGUAGAAGUGCUAACAAUGAUUUCUGCGAAAGGUCAAAUAACUCCGUAAGGGGUCAAAGUUCAAUUACGCAGGGUGAACUGUAUUCUUUUCUCAAGAAGUACUAUAUGAUGGACUAUAAAGUUUUUCGAUAAGUCUUAAGACGAAGAUUUUUUUUGACGGCAGGAAAAUAAUAAUAAUAAUAACUAGUGAUCCUAAUUGUUCGCGAACAAUUAGAGGGCUUCCCACCUUCUAGCGGUUUUUCAGUAGUGUUGAAAUGCUAAAAGCCCCCCCCCCUACCCCACCCCACCCUCACCAAAAAAAAAAAAAAAAAUGGAUUUGGCUAGAAAAGAAAUUCAAAUUUGCCGCCUAAAUUUGAGUGUUGAGGUGUGUUCAAUGCUUGGUUUCGCAUUAAGUACCCGUCAAAUUUGAGGGAGAAAAGGGGUGUGGGUGUUGGGUAGCCAGCACAUAUGCACAUAUCAGGUAAAAGUGUAAUAGGACUUGUGCAGGUGUUUGGGGUGACUUUAGACCUGUUAGAUGUGAUAUUUGGAGGUGCAAAGAAACCGGAUGUGCCAUUUUCCUAGAUUGUAGUAACUGCUGGUGCAUGCUGGGAGUCUAUACAAGCCUCAUGUUGUCAGAUGUUGUGAAGAUGCACUGGAUUUGACCGUGUGUGUUGUGGAUUGUGGAAUUGAAUAUACAGUUUGUAAUGGCUCAUCCUAUGUGUUCUAAUUCACGGAGACAAUGUCUUUCAGUCAUUUCACCCAAGGAGGCAUGCAUAUACGGAUUGAUAGGCUUUGACAACAAACAACCAAAAUGGCGGCCGGUGAAUUAGAAAGUGUCUGAGUGCAUGUAGGAUAUCUGAACGGAGAAUAGGAGUACUGCAUCCCAUCUGAUCCUGCAGUCAUUUCACCCAAGGAGGCAUGCAUAUACGGAUUGAUAGGCUUUGACAACAAACAACCAAAAUGGCGGCCGGUGAAUUAGAAAGUGUCUGAGUGCAUGUAGGAUAUCUGAACGGAGAAUAGGAGUACUGCAUCCCAUCUGAUCCUGCAGGUAAGUGUUUAUUUGUUUACAAUGACAGUCGGGAUGGAAUGUCAAUGAGUUCAACUGUCAAGUAAAGUUGCAUCAUCAUUAUUAAAAAAAAACAACUUAGUCUUUAUGUUGAUGCAGGCAGACAAUUGAAUCUGGCCUAUGUCUUUUCAUGAAUGUAAAUGGAAUUCAUGUUUGAUUGACAAGACAGUCAAGAAAUGGAAGAAGUGGGUGUAGGUCAGAUGUGUAGGUGUAGGUCAGAUUAGCUAGAAUCCUGUAAUUGUUGCAUGGCAUGAGACCGGUCAAAAUAGUGUAUUGAAACAGCUGAUCACAAUCAGAUCACUUGAAGGGUGGGGGAUUUCUUCCUUGGGGACGACAGGCGUGAUGGGUGGGUUGGCCUUACUCGUGGAGACUGGCCCCUGGAUGCGUGACCUUGACCUUUGACCUUGACCCACUUUCAAGGUCAAACCUCAAAAACCCAUGGGGGAGAAAGUGUGACUUUGACCUUGACCUGAUUUUGAAGGUCAGAGAGGUCACGGGGCUUCGUUUAAGUGGUCCCGCAUCCCUAUCUACAUCCGUGAAGAAGUUGUGGGCUCGAACGACGACGUCGGAGACUUUCGGGGGCGAGAACCGUGCUUCGGGGUUCUCGGUUUCCCUCGGUCAACUUUUCUGUGCGAGAGCGUUUCAUCUGGAAUUCGUCGGCGAAGGUCUCGCCUCUCCACGACUUGCGGUCUAGUGAGAGUAGCGAUAACGGGGUUUUCGACGUUAAGUCGCCGCCAUUCGCAGAGUGGUCAAAGUUCAGAGUUGACAUUCGUGAUGCCGAGACCGGUCCAAAAUUCCUUGCUGACCCAUGUGAUAUUUCGAUGCUAUCUGAAGCGUGAAAGAGCGUAUAAAAAGUGCCAUUUUCUGGCCAUUCUGGAUGACCUUGACCUUUGACCUUGACCUACUUUUUCAAGGUCAAGGUCACCCAACCCGUCCCAGUGGGUUCCGUCUCUCUACGACGAAGACUUUAGGAGUCGUCAAUUUGUAGGGGACAAAUCGCAAAACAUGAGGGGGCAUUAACUCCCUUUAGGGGACACCGAAUCCCUUCAUUUGAAAUUCUUCGCUUCUACUAAUUACCCUCUAUGUUUUAGAAAAGGUUUCAUCCUCCUAUCAUUUACGGUUACAAAGUAGAAGUGCUAACAAUGAUUUCUGCGAAAGGUCAAAUAACUCCGUAAGGGGUCAAAGUUCAAUUACGCAGGGUGAACUGUAUUCUUUUCUCAAGAAGUACUAUAUGAUGGACUAUAAAGUUUUUCGAUAAGUCUUAAGACGAAGAUUUUUUUUGACGGCAGGAAAAUAAUAAUAAUAAUAACUAGUGAUCCUAAUUGUUCGCGAACAAUUAGAGGGCUUCCCACCUUCUAGCGGUUUUUCAGUAGUGUUGAAAUGCUAAAAGCCCCCCCCCCUACCCCACCCCACCCUCACCAAAAAAAAAAAAAAAAAUGGAUUUGGCUAGAAAAGAAAUUCAAAUUUGCCGCCUAAAUUUGAGUGUUGAGGUGUGUUCAAUGCUUGGUUUCGCAUUAAGUACCCGUCAAAUUUGAGGGAGAAAAGGGGUGUGGGUGUUGGGUAGCCAGCACAUAUGCACAUAUCAGGUAAAAGUGUAAUAGGACUUGUGCAGGUGUUUGGGGUGACUUUAGACCUGUUAGAUGUGAUAUUUGGAGGUGCAAAGAAACCGGAUGUGCCAUUUUCCUAGAUUGUAGUAACUGCUGGUGCAUGCUGGGAGUCUAUACAAGCCUCAUGUUGUCAGAUGUUGUGAAGAUGCACUGGAUUUGACCGUGUGUGUUGUGGAUUGUGGAAUUGAAUAUACAGUUUGUAAUGGCUCAUCCUAUGUGUUCUAAUUCACGGAGACAAUGUCUUUCAGUCAUUUCACCCAAGGAGGCAUGCAUAUACGGAUUGAUAGGCUUUGACAACAAACAACCAAAAUGGCGGCCGGUGAAUUAGAAAGUGUCUGAGUGCAUGUAGGAUAUCUGAACGGAGAAUAGGAGUACUGCAUCCCAUCUGAUCCUGCAGGUAAGUGUUUAUUUGUUUACAAUGACAGUCGGGAUGGAAUGUCAAUGAGUUCAACUGUCAAGUAAAGUUGCAUCAUCAUUAUUAAAAAAAAACAACUUAGUCUUUAUGUUGAUGCAGGCAGACAAUUGAAUCUGGCCUAUGUCUUUUCAUGAAUGUAAAUGGAAUUCAUGUUUGAUUGACAAGACAGUCAAGAAAUGGAAGAAGUGGGUGUAGGUCAGAUGUGUAGGUGUAGGUCAGAUUAGCUAGAAUCCUGUAAUUGUUGCAUGGCAUGAGACCGGUCAAAAUAGUGUAUUGAAACAGCUGAUCACAAUCAGAUCACUUGAAGGGUGGGGGAUUUCUUCCUUGGGGACGACAGGCGUGAUGGGUGGGUUGGCCUUACUCGUGGAGACUGGCCCCUGGAUGCGUGACCUUGACCUUUGACCUUGACCCACUUUCAAGGUCAAACCUCAAAAACCCAUGGGGGAGAAAGUGUGACUUUGACCUUGACCUGAUUUUGAAGGUCAGAGAGGUCACGGGGCUUCGUUUAAGUGGUCCCGCAUCCCUAUCUACAUCCGUGAAGAAGUUGUGGGCUCGAACGACGACGUCGGAGACUUUCGGGGGCGAGAACCGUGCUUCGGGGUUCUCGGUUUCCCUCGGUCAACUUUUCUGUGCGAGAGCGUUUCAUCUGGAAUUCGUCGGCGAAGGUCUCGCCUCUCCACGACUUGCGGUCUAGUGAGAGUAGCGAUAACGGGGUUUUCGACGUUAAGUCGCCGCCAUUCGCAGAGUGGUCAAAGUUCAGAGUUGACAUUCGUGAUGCCGAGACCGGUCCAAAAUUCCUUGCUGACCCAUGUGAUAUUUCGAUGCUAUCUGAAGCGUGAAAGAGCGUAUAAAAAGUGCCAUUUUCUGGCCAUUCUGGAUGACCUUGACCUUUGACCUUGACCUACUUUUUCAAGGUCAAGGUCACCCAACCCGUCCCAGUGGGUUCCGUCUCUCUACGACGAAGACUUUAGGAGUCGUCAAUUUGUAGGGGACAAAUCGCAAAACAUGAGGGGGCAUUAACUCCCUUUAGGGGACACCGAAUCCCUUCAUUUGAAAUUCUUCGCUUCUACUAAUUACCCUCUAUGUUUUAGAAAAGGUUUCAUCCUCCUAUCAUUUACGGUUACAAAGUAGAAGUGCUAACAAUGAUUUCUGCGAAAGGUCAAAUAACUCCGUAAGGGGUCAAAGUUCAAUUACGCAGGGUGAACUGUAUUCUUUUCUCAAGAAGUACUAUAUGAUGGACUAUAAAGUUUUUCGAUAAGUCUUAAGACGAAGAUUUUUUUUGACGGCAGGAAAAUAAUAAUAAUAAUAACUAGUGAUCCUAAUUGUUCGCGAACAAUUAGAGGGCUUCCCACCUUCUAGCGGUUUUUCAGUAGUGUUGAAAUGCUAAAAGCCCCCCCCCCUACCCCACCCCACCCUCACCAAAAAAAAAAAAAAAAAUGGAUUUGGCUAGAAAAGAAAUUCAAAUUUGCCGCCUAAAUUUGAGUGUUGAGGUGUGUUCAAUGCUUGGUUUCGCAUUAAGUACCCGUCAAAUUUGAGGGAGAAAAGGGGUGUGGGUGUUGGGUAGCCAGCACAUAUGCACAUAUCAGGUAAAAGUGUAAUAGGACUUGUGCAGGUGUUUGGGGUGACUUUAGACCUGUUAGAUGUGAUAUUUGGAGGUGCAAAGAAACCGGAUGUGCCAUUUUCCUAGAUUGUAGUAACUGCUGGUGCAUGCUGGGAGUCUACAAGCCUCAUGUUGUCAGAUGUUGUGAAGAUGCACUGGAUUUUACCGUGUGUGUUGUGGAUUGUGGAAUUAAAUAUACAGUUUGUAAUGGCUCAUCCUAUGUGUUCUAAUUCACGGAGACAAUGUCUUUCAGUCAUUUCACCCAAGGAGGCAUGCAUAUACGGAUUGAUAGGCUUUGACAACAAACAACCAAAAUGGCGGCCGGUGAAUUAGAAAGUGUCUGAGUGCAUGUAGGAUAUCUGAACGGAGAAUAGGAGUACUGCAUCCCAUCUGAUCCUGCAGGUAAGUGUUUAUUUGUUUACAAUGACAGUCGGGAUGGAAUGUCAAUGAGUUCAACUGUCGAGUAAAGUUGCAUCAUCAUUAUAAAAAAAAAACAACUUAGUCUUUAUGUUGAUGCAGGCAGACAAUUGAAUCUGGCCUAUGUCUUUUCAUGAAUGUAAAUGGAAUUCAUGUUUGAUUGACAAGACAGUCAAGAAAUGGAAGAAGUGGGUGUAGGUCAGAUGUGUAGGUGUAGGUCAGAUUAGCUAGAAUCCUGUAAUUGUUGCAUGGCAUGAGACCGGUCAAAAUAGUGUAUUGAAACAGCUGAUCACAAUCAGAUCACUUGAAGGGUGGGGGAUUUCUUCCUUGGGGACGACAGGCGUGAUGGGUGGGUUGGCCUUACUCGUGGAGACUGGCCCCUGGAUGCGUGACCUUGACCUUUGACCUUGACCCACUUUCAAGGUCAAACCUCAAAAAUCCUGUUGUUGGGCAUGAAACCGGUCAAAAUAGUGUAUUAUAAACAGCUGAUGACAGACAGAUCACUUGAAGGGUGGGGGGUUUCUUCCUUGGGGACGACAGGCGUGAUGGGUGGGUUGGCCUUACUCGUGGAGACUGGCCCCUGGAUGCGUGACCUUGACCUUUGACCUUGACCCACUUUCAAGGUCAAACCUCAAAAACCCAUGGGGGGAGAAAGUGUGACCUUGACCUUUGACCUUGACCUGAUUUUGAAGGUCAGAGAGGUCACGGGGCUUCGUUUAAGUGGUCCCGCAUCCCUAUCUACAUCCGUGAAGAAGUUGUGGGCUCGAACGACGACGUCGGAGACUUUCGGGGGCGAGAACCGUGCUUCGGGGUUCUCGGUUUCCCCCGGUCAACUUCUCUGUGCGAGAGUGUUUCAUCUGGAAUUCGUCGGCGAAGGUCUCGCCUCUCCACGACUUGCGGUCUAGUGGGAGUAGCGAUAACGGGGUUUUCGACGUUAAGUCGCCGCCUUUCGCAGAGCGGUCAAAGUUCAGAGUUGUAAUUCAGGAUUCCGAGACCGGUCCAGAAUUCCAUGCUGACCCAUGUGAUAUUUCGAUGCUAUCUGAAGCGGGAAAGAGCGUAUAAAAAGUGCCAUUUUCUGGCCAUUCUGGAUGACCUUGACCUUUGACCUUGACCUACUUUUUCAAGGUCAAGGUCACCCAACCCGUCCCAGUGGGUUCCGUCUCUCUACGACGAAGACUUUAGGAGUCGUCAAUUUGUAGGGGACAAAUCGCAAAACAUGAGGGGGCAUUAACUCCCUUUAGGGGACACCGAAUCCCUUCAUUUGAAAUUCUUCGCUUCUACUCAUUGACCUCUAUGCUUCAGCAAAGGUUUCAUCCUCCUAUCCUUUACGGUUAAAAAGGAGUAGCGAUAACAAUGAUUUCUGCUAACAGGUCCGAUAACUCUGUAAGGGGUCAAAGUUCCAUGACGCAGGGUGAAAUGUAUUCGUUUCUCAAGAAGUGUUCUAGGAUGGACUCUAAAGUUUUUCGAUAAGUCUUAAGACGAAAAUUUUUUUUGACGGCAGGAAAA